UUUAAUACUAAUAAUAGAGUCUCGGUAAAUCGUUAAAAUUGACAGGAGUGCUUGUGUAAAAUAGACGAAGCUUGAUGUCAAGUACGAUUCGAUUGGCGACACAAUACUGUUCUAUAUGCUGUUCUCAAGAGAAAAUAAGUUCCGGAAAGUAAAAAUUAUUUUGUACCUUACGCAAACCAAUUCUUCUGUCGAUUAUCGCGAAGCUUUAAAAGCUAAUUUCUUAAACAUCUUCUGCUUAACAUUUCGCUGGCAGGAUGGUGUUUAUCAUCAAUGUGAUUAACUCUCCAGUGGCUGCACUUUGCUCUGAAGAAGAUCCAAGUAAAUAUUGUGAUUUCUAAUAUUGAUAGCGCAGCUAUACAGGCGCCCAAGUAUUCGUAGAUGAUCGUUAGCAUGCAUCGUUUACAAGUGAAUAUCGAGUCAUUUAAAAAAUAAAACGGUCUUUCAUACUGGCUCCACCAAAUUCAAAGUCUUCAAUAACUGAGUCUGACGCAAACAAUAGUGUCACAGACUAUCUCAGAUUCAAUCUCAAGAAAAUUAUGAUUAAUCAUUAUGAGACGUCGGCCAUAUCUCAGCUGAUAAAGGUGAGGUCAGACACUAGCUCUAAAUGAAUGACACGAGUCGCAAAACAAACGAAAAUAGAGAUAAAGCAUUUAAAUUCUCUACAUCCACGACCCUUUCUAUCCUUUAUGAGAAAAAGGCCACAAUAAUCAAAACCUGUAGUGUAAAAUAGAGGAACGGGACUCACUCAACUAUUUGGAUUCCAUUUCUAUUGCCCUCCAUCCGCUUCGUUAAGGAAUAAAGCAAGGAGUAAUAGAAAAGAGUUAAAUGUCUGCGUUGAUGGUCUGGCCACAAUCUAAGUAAUCGAUCAGGAUACCACUUAACUUUUA
This is a long non-coding RNA of Diorhabda sublineata, 887 nucleotides long. RefSeq lists it as uncharacterized. Lineage: Eukaryota; Metazoa; Arthropoda; Insecta; Coleoptera; Chrysomelidae. The transcript is spliced from 3 exons. The record is from RefSeq and is a predicted model, not a curated record.